GCUGGCGGCAGGCCUAACACAUGCAAGUCGAGCGGCCGUAGCAAUACGGCAGCGGCAGACGGGAGAGUAACACGUGGGAACGCGCCCUUCGGUCCGGGAUAACCCAGGGAAACUUGGGCCAAUACCGGAUACGCCCUUACGGGGAAAGAUUUAUUGCCGAAGGAACGGCCCGCGUCCGAUUAGCUAGUUGGUGAGGUAACGGCUCACCAAGGCGACGAUCGGUAGCUGGUCUGAGAGGAUGACCAGCCUCACUGGGACUGAGACACGGCCCAGACUCCUACGGGAGGCAGCAGUGGGGAAUAUUGGACAAUGGGCGCAAGCCUGAUCCAGCCAUGCCGCGUGGGUGAUGAAGGCCCUAGGGUUGUAAAGCCCUUUCAGCGGGGAAGAUAAUGACGGUACCCGCAGAAGAAGCCCCGGCUAACUUCGUGCCAGCAGCCGCGGUAAUACGAAGGGGGCUAGCGUUGCUCGGAAUUACUGGGCGUAAAGCGCACGUAGGCGGCUUUCUAAGUCGGGGGUGAAAUCCUGGAGCUCAACUCCAGAACUGCCUUCGAUACUGGAGAGCUCGAGUCCGGGAGAGGUGAGUGGAACUGCGAGUGUAGAGGUGAAAUUCGUAGAUAUUCGC
Molecule: ribosomal RNA, 622 nt
Filed under: uncultured bacterium
Lineage: Bacteria
Description: bacterial SSU rRNA
Rfam family: Bacterial small subunit ribosomal RNA
Source: RNAcentral